Molecule: long non-coding RNA, 1272 nt
Filed under: Homo sapiens (human)
Lineage: Eukaryota; Metazoa; Chordata; Mammalia; Primates; Hominidae
Description: non-protein coding ZNF341-AS1:5
Source: RNAcentral
GAGAAAAUAGCCUCUCUCAUUCUUCAGUGGCUUUGUUUUGCCAGAGACAAGACAGGGCUAUUUUGACAGGAUGGUCAGGAGAGGCCUCUCUGAUGAGGCCAUGCAUGAGGAGAGACCUCAGGUCAUCAGGGAGAUGGUCUGGGCAGCAGGGAAAGCAGGUACAAAGGCCCUGAGGCAGGAGUGCGUUUGGCGGUGCUGAUGAACAACAGGGAGGCUGGUGUGGCCAGAGAACAAGGCAGAAGGUGAGGGCAGCGAGCCAGCCAGGUCCGCAUGGGAGGACCUGGGAGGCAGAGCUAAGGACUUGGCUUUUAUUUAUUUAUUUUUUUUGAGACAGAGCCUUGCUCUGUCACCCAGGCUGGAGUGCAGUGGCAAGAUUUCAGGUGAGUCACUGCAACCUCUGCCUUCUGGGUUCAAGCAAUCCUCCUACCUCAGCCUCCUGAGUAGAUGGGAUUACAGGUGUGUGCCACCACGCCCAGCUAAUUUUUGUAUUUUUAGUAGAGAUGGGGGGUUUCACCAUGUUGGCCAGGCUGGUCUCGAACUCCUGACCUCAAGUGAUCCACCUGCCUUGGCCUCCCAAAGUGCUGGGAUUACAGGCAUGAGCCACCGCGCCCAGCCAGGACUUUGGCUUUUACUCUGAGCCAGAAGAGAAGCACCAGAAGGUCUGAACAGCAGAGGGAUGGACUCUGAUGUAAGCUUUUAACCAGCUCGAAUGAGGGUGGAGGUGAGGAUAACCAGGAAGUGGCCCAGGACAGCCAUGUUGGGAAGGCACAGUCGGCAGCCCUUGCCACUGGACUGGCUGUGACUGUGAGAGGAGGAGAGGAGUCAAGGAUGAGGCACGGCCUGAGAAGCAAGGUGGCCUCAUGUCAUUUCUGGCAAUGCGGUCCACCCUGGGGGACGAGGAAUCACACCUUAUCUAACUGAAUCCUUCCAAAAAACCAGGAGGCACUGACUCCCAUCAUCCCUGUUUCACAGAUAAGAAAGAAGACUGAAGUUCAGAGAGGUGAAGGGACUGGCUCAGGGGCUACCCCUAUGGUUGCGGGAGCUAAGAUUCCAGCCCAGCAGCGUGAUCCAGAGCCCAUCUGAGCUACCCAGAUCUUCCUGCUGUUAAACCCGUCCUGGGGCAGCUCUUGCCUGAUGGGCUACCUGAGGAACCCACAGGAAAUCAAGGGAGGUGCCUGCAAAGUUGCCGUGGGGUCACAGCCUGCCCUUUGGAAGGGGCUGUUUCUGGGCUGCUGUGACUUCCUGCCAUUAUUUCCUCUCUGUUCUCCCUCU